ACUCGAAGGUCACGGAGAUCAUUACGUAAAACUGUCAAUGCGGUGGUGUAGAGGUUGGGUGAGAACGGGACGUGUUGCUUCAUUAUCAAAAAGGUCCAAUAGCCGCAAGUCUUGAGAGGUGAGGGUUAGAAAAAGUUGUAUAAAAAGAGAGAGAAAAGGUGAAAGAUUUCAGUCCAGUGAGCAUCUCCGACAGGGCAACAUCAACUGUAGGCGCACUGUUUUUCACCAACUGCAUUCUUCGUCAUACAACCAGUUUUCAAUCUUUGUUAAUCAUGGCGUCGUGCUGCUGUUACUACGUUUACUAGUCGUCACUCGUCACCAACUGCAUUCUUCUUUGUAUUACCAUCAGUUUACAAUCAUGGGAAACUAUGGCGACGUCGCCGUCGUGCUCCUGUAGUUUGUUGUAUCGUUCAUGGCAGGGUUCAACCCAGUCGUUGAUCACUGGUGUACCGCUGUCUCCUCUGUAAGGCAGAUACCAAAGCACAACGCUUCCGUCUUACUACACGACAACAUACGCAACGACCAGUUACUACACCGAAGGCCUCUGAGUACUACAACACCAAGGCUCCAGUUUAUUACACCAAAACUUUGGCUGUCCCGACCUACUACAUCGAAGCCCCGAAGUAUUAUUCUUCCCCGAGCUACAAAACCAAAGCGUCAAGUACUACACCGAGGCCCGCAAGUACAACUCUGCUCCAGCUUAUUACACCACAUGAAUGGUCGAAUACUACACAGAAGCCACCAGUUUGCAAUUCUGGUGUGUAGUUGUAUAAAAGGAGAGAAAAUACGAAAGAAAUCAGUUGAGUGAGCAUCUCCGGCAUGGCAUUAGAUAUUGCAGUGCACUAUUUGUCACCAACUGCAAAAUGGCGUAUUACCAGUUGGCAACCACGGUAAACUGUGGCGUCAUGCUGCUGUUGGGUGAUGUAUCGUUGAUGGCUGGAUAGACCACUGCUGUACCGAGUUCUUCUCGGUAUGGAAGUUACCAAAGCACAACGCUGCCGUCUAACUGCACGACAACAUACGCAACGGCCAGUUACUACACCGAGCCCCAUGAGUACUACAUCACCAAAGCUCCAGAAUAUUACACCACAUUUUAGGUUGCUCUGAUCUACUACACCAAAAUGCCGGAGUACUAUACCGAGGCUCCCCAUUACUACACCAACAAGACACCAGAGUACUUCACAUCUAGAUACCAUGGUCGCAUAAAAGGAGAGUAAAGGCAAAAGAAAUCAGCAUUUGAGUGAUCAUCGAGUGGCCCCUGAUCACUACACCACUAAGGCACCGGAGUACUACACAACUACGUAGCUGCUACUUACCGAUGCGGUGUUGUAUCGUUGAUGGCGGUUACCAAAGCACAACGCUACCGUCUUACUACACAACAACAUACGCAAUGGCCAGUUACUACACCGAGGCACCUGAGUACUACACCAUCAAGCCGCCAGAUAAUUACACCAAAACUUCGGCUGACCUGAGCUACUACACCGGAGCCCCAAAGUAUUAUUCUCCCCCGAGCUAGAAUACCAAAGCAUUGAGUACUACACCGAGGCACCCGAGUACUUCACCACCAAGGAACUGGAGUGUUUUGUAACUACAUAUGCUGCGCCAGCUUCUUACAACGAGGCUCGCAAGUACAACUCUGCUCCAGCUACUUCACCGAGGCUCCAGCUUAUUACACCACAUAAACGGUCGAAUACUACACAGAAGCUACCAAUUUGCAAUCAUGGCAAACUAUGGUGUCGUGCUGCUGUUGGGUGUUGUAUCGUUGAUGGCUGAAUCGAUCACUGUUGUCUGAUGUCUCCUGAGUAUGGCGGGUAUCAAACCGGAACGCUGUCGCCUAACUACACAACAACAUUCGCAACGACCAGUUACUACACCGAUGCCCGUGAGUACUACACCACCAGGGCUCCAGAUUAUUACACCAAAACUUCGGCUGUCCCGACCUACUCCACUGAAGCCCGAAGUAUUAUUCUUCCACGAGCUACACCACCAAGGCACCGAAGUAAUACUGUGUAUGCUGCUCCAACCUACUGCACCGAGGCUCCUGGCUCCCAAGUACUACACAACCAAUGCAUUGGAGUAUUACACAACUACGUAUAAUGCGCCAGCUUACUACACCGAGGUUCCAGCUUAUUGUACUACAAAAACGGUCGAUUACUACAGAGAAGGGCGAAAAUACUACUCUGCCCCUUGCCACACAACCACAACUGAGGUGGCCAAGUAUUACGUAACCCUAACUUUCUUCACAACCACUGCCUUCGUAUUACGUUGGACCGAAAUACUACACUGAAGCUCCAGCUUACUACACCACAACCUACGCUACACUCAACUACCACCCCGAAGCUCCAAAGUAUUACUCUGCCCCAAGUUACUACACCACUAAGGAAUUUGACUAUUAAACCACGACCUACUCUUCUCCAGAUUACUACAUGGAGGCUUCUAAAUGCUAGAGCCGAAAUUGUUUCAUACAUUUGUGUUACUUGUCACUGCAAAUUGUUGAUCUUGAAUGAGAAAAUAAAUUUGAAUGCGGGUAAUCAUUUUGUAACUUCAAGCCUUUUGACAUUGGGAAAUGUUCCUUUUUUUUAAAUUUUGCCUAUUUCACAUGUCAGAGUUGACUCUGUACUUUAGUCACUUUGCACAAGGACAUCCUGGUUUUUCUUACUCUUCUAUUGAAAAGGAAAUCCUGAGACAUCACUUGUAUAAUACUGGAGUAUAUGUCUAUGACUGAAAUUCUGAACAUUACUUGGUUCAUUGUGUCUUAGUUAAUAUAUAAACACAUGAAA
Molecule: long non-coding RNA, 2780 nt
Organism: Daphnia pulicaria
Lineage: Eukaryota; Metazoa; Arthropoda; Branchiopoda; Diplostraca; Daphniidae
Exons: 7
Source: RefSeq, a predicted model, not a curated record